This 497-nucleotide ribosomal RNA is filed under the name uncultured bacterium. Its description in RNAcentral is "partial 16S ribosomal RNA". It matches the Rfam family "Bacterial small subunit ribosomal RNA", at positions 28 to 507 of the family's 1533-position model. The record is from RNAcentral.
GAUGAACGCUGGCGGCGUGCCUAAUACAUGCAAGUCGAGCGAACAGACGAGGAUCUUGCUCCUCUGACGUUAGCGGCGGACGGGUGAUUAACACGUGGAUAACCUACCUAUAAGACUGGGAUAACUUCGGGAAACCUGAGCUAAUACCGGAUAAUAUAGUGAACGGCAUGGUUCAAUAGUGAAAGACGGUUUUGCUGUCACUAAGAGAUAGAUCCGCGCCGCAUUAGCUAGUUGGUAAGGUAACGGCUUACCAAGGCAACGAUGCGUAGCCGACCUGAGAGGGUGAUCAGCCACACUGGAACUGAGACACGGUCCAGACUCCUACGGGAGGCAGCAGUAGGGAAUAUUCCGCAAUGGGCGAAAGCCUGACGGAGCAACGCCGCGUGAGUGAUGAAGGUCUUCGGAUCGUAAAACUCUGUUAUUAGGGAAGAACAAAUGUGUAAGUAACUAUGCACGUCUUGACGGUACCUAAUCAGAAAGCCCCGGCUAACUACGUG